GUCCGCCUUUGGUGUGCAU
This 19-nucleotide non-coding RNA is filed under the name Arabidopsis thaliana (thale cress). Lineage: Eukaryota; Viridiplantae; Streptophyta; Magnoliopsida; Brassicales; Brassicaceae. The record is from RNAcentral.